GUCUCUGAGGCGCAAUUGCUUAGCGCGUUCGGCUGUUAACUGAAAGGUUGUUGGUUCGAGCCCACCCAGGGACG
Molecule: non-coding RNA, 74 nt
Organism: Apaloderma vittatum (bar-tailed trogon)
Lineage: Eukaryota; Metazoa; Chordata; Aves; Trogoniformes; Trogonidae
Source: Rfam